GACGAACGCUGGCGGCGUGCUUAACACAUGCAAGUCGAACGGAAAGGCCCUGCUUUUGUGGGGUGCUCGAGUGGCGAACGGGUGAGUAACACGUGAGUAACCUGCCCUUGACUUUGGGAUAACUUCAGGAAACUGGGGCUAAUACCGGAUAGGAGCUCCUGCUGCAUGGUGGGGGUUGGAAAGUUUCGGCGGUUGGGGAUGGACUCGCGGCUUAUCAGCUUGUUGGUGGGGUAGUGGCUUACCAAGGCUUUGACGGGUAGCCGGCCUGAGAGGGUGACCGGCCACAUUGGGACUGAGAUACGGCCCAGACUCCUACGGGAGGCAGCAGUGGGGAAUAUUGCACAAUGGGCGGAAGCCUGAUGCAGCAACGCCGCGUGCGGGAUGACGGCCUUCGGGCUGUAAACCGCUUUCUCCUGUGACGAAGCGUGAGUGACGGUAAUGGGUAAAGAAGCACCGGCUAACUACGUG
RNAcentral lists this ribosomal RNA (468 nucleotides) under uncultured bacterium. Its description in RNAcentral is "partial 16S ribosomal RNA". It matches the Rfam family "Bacterial small subunit ribosomal RNA", at positions 28 to 507 of the family's 1533-position model. The record is from RNAcentral.